AAAAUUAUAAGAAAAGUGUGGAAGUUUUUAGUAGGCCCAAGUGCAAGGGAACAGGCAUUCCCAUAUCUUAGUUUAAGAUAGUUGCUGUCGUCAAAUCAGCAAGACCAAGUAUCUUCUGCUCGAGGCUCAGGAACCGAAUCCUUCACGCGAAGGUGUUCCUGCCGGGUUCUAGAACCGGAAGUAGGUUGUAGGGGGAUUCGACCAUUACGAGUCUUCUGGGUGGAUCCGGAAGCUUGGCGGCUUGUAGGCUAUAGGCCUCGUCGUCCGGCCAGUGACCCAUCGUCGC
Long non-coding RNA from Aedes aegypti (yellow fever mosquito), 286 nucleotides. RefSeq lists it as uncharacterized. The record is from RefSeq and is a predicted model, not a curated record. The transcript is spliced from 3 exons. NCBI's taxonomy places the organism in Eukaryota, Metazoa, Arthropoda, Insecta, Diptera, Culicidae.